RNAcentral lists this ribosomal RNA (450 nucleotides) under uncultured bacterium. RNAcentral describes it as "partial 16S ribosomal RNA". It matches the Rfam family "Bacterial small subunit ribosomal RNA", at positions 354 to 796 of the family's 1533-position model. The record is from RNAcentral.
GUGGGGAAUUUUGGACAAUGGGCGCAAGCCUGAUCCAGCAAUGCCGCGUGCAGGAAGAAGGCCUUCGGGUUGUAAACUGCUUUUGUACGGAACGAAACGGUCCGGGUUAAUACCCUGGGCUAAUGACGGUACCGUAAGAAUAAGCACCGGCUAACUACGUGCCAGCAGCCGCGGUAAUACGUAGGGUGCAAGCGUUAAUCGGAAUUACUGGGCGUAAAGCGUGCGCAGGCGGUUUUGUAAGACAGGCGUGAAAUCCCCGGGCUCAACCUGGGAAUUGCGAUUGUGACUGCAAGGCUGGAGUGCGGCAGAGGGGGAUGGAAUUCCGCGUGUAGCAGUGAAAUGCGUAGAUAUGCGGAGGAACACCGAUGGCGAAGGCAAUCCCCUGGGCCUGCACUGACGCUCAUGCGCGAAAGCGUGGGGAGCAAACAGGAUUAGAUACCCCAGUAGUCC